RNAcentral lists this transfer RNA (74 nucleotides) under Candidatus Woesearchaeota archaeon. Its description in RNAcentral is "tRNA-Lys". It matches the Rfam family "tRNA". Rfam says of the family: Transfer RNA (tRNA) molecules are approximately 80 nucleotides in length. Their secondary structure includes four short double-helical elements and three loops (D, anti-codon, and T loops). Further hydrogen bonds mediate the characteristic L-shaped molecular structure. tRNAs have two regions of fundamental functional importance: the anti-codon, which is responsible for specific mRNA codon recognition, and the 3' end, to which the tRNAs corresponding amino acid is attached (by aminoacyl-tRNA synthetases). tRNAs cope with the degeneracy of the genetic code in two manners: having more than one tRNA (with a specific anti-codon) for a particular amino acid; and 'wobble' base-pairing, i.e. permitting non-standard base-pairing at the 3rd anti-codon position. The record is from RNAcentral. Lineage: Archaea; Nanobdellati; Candidatus Woesearchaeota.
GGGCCGGUAGCUCAGCCUGGUAGAGCAUCCGGCUUUUAACCGGAUGGUCGCGAGUUCGAAUCUCGUCCGGCCCA